GAUGCAUAUCGUUUUAAGAUACAUCAUUUGCAUAUUUCUGAAAAAGAAUAUUGCUUAAAUCGCAGUAUUCUUUAUAGCCUAUUACGCAACUCCGUGACACGAAAAUCUACCGCAAUGGAGACUUUUUUUUUACGAAUUUUAUAAAAUUAGUUAAUUAUCUAGUCUUAAUACGAUAAUCACACAGGAUUACAUGAUUCAAUUCAAGAUUCUAUACGGUAUUAUAUCUCGAAAUACAGUAUUAUCAUUAUGCGCAAAAUUAUUACAAUUAAACCCAAGCCCAAAGCCAUAUGCCAAUUCUGUGAGUAUCAAUAAGACAAAAUUAUUUUCACAUUCAGAGAAAGUGAAUCGUUACUGUCUUAGAUUUAUCAUCAACAAAUGUACAUAUAACCUUCAUUCACUUACGUCAAAAGAUGAAGUGCUCUUUCAAUAGGUUUUUUUUCCAAACCAGGAUCUAAAGUGUGUUUCUUUAAUUGCUCUUCAUUCUAAAGAAGGAAUUGUAAAUCGAUCGUUUUAGAAAUGUUCUACUUUGAAUGAAAUGAAUAUGAAGAACAAUGUGCACAAUGUUACUUACUCUUACAUCAGGUAUAGGCUUGUCUAAUUGAAGGCUAGCAAAUUCCUCAUAGUCCAUAAACAUGAUGGACGCAUUUUACGAUGAAUGCUGUUAACGGAUAUAACCCCAUUUAUUUGAAAGAAUUGAUCAGAACAGGAAACGCAUAUUCAGGUGAUAUCUCGUACGGAAGUAAAAAACACGAUCGUUCGCGAUGGAUUUCAAGAAUGAUUAUUGAAAUUCUACAUGUAGAUGCUCCUAUAGGAAAUUUUUGAAGAUGCAGGACGCAAGAAAUGAAUAUUACCGAACACACGCAAUUGUAUAAAAUAUGAAAUAUAUUUACUUUUCAUAAUAUGUCGUAUAAUUUAGAUAAGUAUACGUACUUUACGGGCAUUGCAUAGAGUUUAUCAUAUACGUUUAACGAUAUAAAAGAUUACAGUUUACAUUUAAUAUAUACAGAAGAGCGAAAGAUUUGGAUCAUAUUUGAACAGUGCCAUUGAACUUUCGCGUGUAUCUUAUAGUUUUAAGAUAAUCGCUUGUAUCCUCAUACGAAGCACAAUUAUAUGUUCUACAAUUUAUAUGUUCUAAGUUUAAAAAAUAUAAAACAAAAUGUGAUAAUUAUUAAUAACA
Apis mellifera (honey bee) is the source of this 1177-nucleotide long non-coding RNA. RefSeq lists it as uncharacterized. The record is from RefSeq and is a predicted model, not a curated record. The transcript has 2 exons. NCBI's taxonomy places the organism in Eukaryota, Metazoa, Arthropoda, Insecta, Hymenoptera, Apidae.